RNAcentral lists this transfer RNA (131 nucleotides) under Nitrososphaerota archaeon. Its description in RNAcentral is "Thaumarchaeota archaeon tRNA-OTHER". Lineage: Archaea; Thermoproteati; Nitrososphaerota. The record is from RNAcentral. RNAcentral also lists the same sequence under 3 other names.
GGGGCCGUAGUCUAGAUGUGGGAUAAGAAAAUCUUUCCACAGGCAAACAUGGUCCAAGAUGCCAGAGCAACGGCGAUCCUGGGGACCUGCAAGAGUGCUGGUGAUCGCGUGUUCGAAUCACGCCGGCCCCA